RNAcentral lists this small RNA (575 nucleotides) under Pan troglodytes (chimpanzee). RNAcentral's name for it is "processed transcript". Lineage: Eukaryota; Metazoa; Chordata; Mammalia; Primates; Hominidae. The record is from RNAcentral.
AAAAUGGCGGACCUGGCGAACGAAGUCCCCUGCAGAGCAAAAAAACUUGUCGGAUUCGGGAGAGGAGCCUCGGGGGGAGGCUGAGGCCCCCCACCAUGGCACGGGUCACCCCGAGUCAGCUGGCGAGCAUGCCCUAGAACCUCCUGCCCCUGCUGGCGCCUCAGCCAGCACUCCUCCGCCUCCCGCUCCUGAAGCCCAGCUUCCUCCUUUUCCGCGAGAACUGGCAGGGCAGGAAGAAGAAAAGACUCUUCCUUUGAACCCAGAAGGAAUCCCCUGAGCCCUUUAUCUUUGUAUUAAGAAGCCUUUUGAAGAUUAUAGGUGGAGAAGAUUGUGAACUCUCAAGAACAAGAAAUGUCUUGGGUUUUUGAAGUUUGAUAAAUUGGGAAAGAGGUCAGCUGGCGGCUCCAGUCCUGAAGGCGGAGAAGAUUCUGACAGAGAAGAUGGAAAUUACUGCCCUCCUGUCAAGCGAGAAAGAACGUCCUCUUUAACCCAGUUCCCACCCUCACAGUCAGAGGAAAGGAGCAGUGGCUUCCGGUUGAAGCCACCAACGCUGAUCCACGGCCAAGCCCCCAGCG